Molecule: non-coding RNA, 2722 nt
Organism: Pimephales promelas (fathead minnow)
Lineage: Eukaryota; Metazoa; Chordata; Actinopteri; Cypriniformes; Leuciscidae
Source: RefSeq, a predicted model, not a curated record
CACUUAAAAAAACAGUAGCCCAUUGGUGGCGCUGAUGGUCUCCGUUUUGAAGUAUUUCCUCAUAUUAAUGGGGGAAACUUCAACCACACCUCAGUGAUCUGGCUGGGAACAGUCAUUUCCACCUUGGGCUCUCCACACAAGAGGUGCUUCACUGGGACUCUCGUUACAUGUAGGAAAUUUGUUUGCAACAUCACUGUCCGGCAUAAACAUCACAGUCCUACAGAAUCAACUGGAAAUUAACUGGGCCCAGAAUAACUGAGGGAAUUAAGGGGUCUUAUAUAUACCAAAAGCACAGACAUCAACAAGGAUUCUGUCGGUGAUCAGGACAGGUUUUUGGACGUGCCACAGCUUAUAUCGCUAAGUGUUGAGGAUUAGAUUCUCUCUCUAUCUCGUCUCUAAACGGCCUGCAGGGUGGCGAGAGAGAGGGGGGAAUCCAACCGGUGCUCGCCGGAGAUGAGUGCGUUCUGGCACAAGAUCGGCUGCUGCGUCGUAGCCAAACCUCCUCCGAAGAAGAAACGGAGGAGAAUUGACCGUAGCAUGAUCGGAGAGCCCACAAAUUUCGUUCAUCUGACACACAUAGGCUCUGGUGAAAUGGCAGAUGGCAUGCAGCCGUCUGGGCCGAUGCAGCAACAAAUGAGAUCCAAAGUGCCUCACGCUAAUGGACGAAACAGCUUGUUAUAGCCUUUUGACCUGGGUGUUUUUUUGUUUGUUUUUUGUUUUUUUUGAACCCCAAGCUCCUUAAAGUGUCCUCAGCAGAACCUGUCCAGCUAGCAGCACUGAACCAACUAUGAGGAGAUACAGAGCAGAUUUUCAUCUCUCCGAUUGCUGCAGCUACAAACAUGGACUGCAGGUUUUUUAUGCUUUGGAUUCUCUGGAAUGUUUCAGAAGAGACAUUUGUUAUUAAAUUUGGACCGGAUUGAAUGAGAGCGCCUGACAAAGAGUGUGAAUGUGUGACGUGUGCAUUUGAGACACUGGCUGUGCUUGCAGUGGAAGAGGAAAGGCUCUUAUCGCUUUGACACAGGGGACUAUUUGACUGCCUUCCCAAAGUUGUAACUGGCAUGUUUGUCAUAGUCUGUCAUUGAUAAGAAUGUGCGCAAAUGUAUGUUUGCUUUUGUUUCGUAAUGGGAAUACAUGUGCAUCUAUACCUUUACAGUGUCUCCAGCUGCUUGUCAUUAACAGUUGCACAAAUUGUUGCUGAUUAGUGUAUGGUAAAAAAAGCGCUUCUUGUAUGUGUAUAGUAGAUGGAUAUAUAAUGAAAAUAUGGAUUUUUUUUUUUUUCCCUGCAAGUCUGGUAUUGCAUUUUACAAAGGCCAAUAUGACUGGGUUGUUAGUCUUAAUGACCUAUAUUCCGACUUCUCUGAGGUUAUACAUUUGCUUUAUGAGAUGAACGGAUCAAAUUUAUCUCAUCAUUCGCUAAUAAUAGUCACCUCAAGUGAGCUGUUAAAGGGAUAAAUCACCAAAAAAAACUAUUUGUCAUCAUUUACAUUCCCUCAAGUUGUACCAAAACUGUUUCAGUUUAUUUCUUUUGUUGAACACUAAAUAUAUUUUAAAGAAUAUUUAACCAAACAGUUGAUGUACCCCAUUGACUUCCAUGUUCCAAGUCAAUGGUGCCCAUCGACUGUUUGGUUACCUAUAUUCUUGAAAAUAUCUACAUUUGUAAGACAGGUUUGGAGCAACUUAAGGGUCAGUAAAUUAUAGAAUUUUUGUUUUUAGGUAAACUAUCCCUUCAAACUGAUAAUUACUGUUUUCAGGAAUAUUGAGUAAAUAAUUUGGGGUCAUAUGGCUUGGAGUAUUACAUUGGGUUUGUACACCAUAUUUGUUUUGUUUUUGGAGGAAAAAAACAAAUCCUUUCUCAUGAAUGAUGGAAGUGCGAGUAAAUCUUUUUCUUUUCUUUUUUAGGCGAGUUAUUCCUGUGAUCUCUGUAUUAGUAAAAGGCCAUUAGCUGAUUAUCUGAGUUGAGACUUUGAACGGAGGAUUCCUGCCACUGCCCUUUGUCAUUUAAACAUCACAUGUACUCUCACUUUCACACAUCAAGCUCCACCUCACACAAGCUUAAACACACCCUCUCUGUUUCCAGUCCUCACACAGCACCAUGAAUAAAUCACUGAUUUACACACACGCUUUGAAUACCGCUCAGUGUAGCACAAUGUUGGGCUGAAAUGUUAAACACGAUAUUUUUGCUUGUGAUUGUGAUGUUUUAUUUGAAAUGCAUUUCUUUGCGAGAUCCCAGACUGUAAUUUACUUUUAGUGUUUGCUGCAAUUUGUUUUGAAAAUGCUAUAGUAAAAUCUGUGCGUAGCGAAAGCUUUCAGAAUGUGCAUGCUGCUUUAGAAAUCCAAUGUUUUGCUGUAUUUUUAGUGUGGAGCUGCCCGGUGGCGCUCUAGAAAUGCAUUUCAUUCUUAGAAAGUGUAGAGGAACAUGCAGAUUUUUGCAUCUCAGCCAAAGACCUCAACUUGUGCAUGUUGCUUGCAGACCUUCUUGGUUUUGUUUGUGUCGUGUGACUGUUUGAAAGCCAUGAUGUUUGUGCAAAGCACUCAUUAUGCCUUUAUUGUCCUUGAUACUUUUCCUUUCCUUUUUUAUUGUAUUUUUUUAUAAAUAUCUUUUAGUUUUAGUCCAGCUGAUUGAUUGUGAUCAAAUGGCAGCAGCAAUAGUGUUCUGUCUGAUAUGGUGUCAAUGCAUCCUUUCAUUGUGCUUUGAUAUGUAACAAUACAGUUGCACAAAGAC